GAUGAACGCUAGCUACAGGCUUAACACAUGCAAGUCGAGGGGUAACGAGAGGAAAGCUUGCUUUCCUUGUCGACGACCGGCGCACGGGUGAGUAAUGCGUAUCCAACCUGCCCCCAACUAAGGAAUAACCUUGCGAAAGUAAGACUAAUACCUUAUAAUUUCCUCAGAUGUCAUCUGACGAGGAAUAAAGAUUUCUCGGUUGUGGAUGGGGAUGCGUCUGAUUAGCUUGUUGGCGGGGUAACGGCCCACCAAGGCAACGAUCAGUAGGGGUUCUGAGAGGAAGGUCCCCCACAUUGGAACUGAGACACGGUCCAAACUCCUACGGGAGGCAGCAGUGAGGAAUAUUGGUCAAUGGGCGGAAGCCUGAACCAGCCAAGUAGCGUGCAGGAUGACGGCCCUAUGGGUUGUAAACUGCUUUUAUACAGGAAUAAAGUUAGCCACGUGUGGUUAUUUGUAGGUACUGUAUGAAUAAGGACCGGCUAAUUCCGUGCCAGCCGCCGCGGUAA
Molecule: ribosomal RNA, 506 nt
Filed under: uncultured bacterium
Lineage: Bacteria
Description: partial 16S ribosomal RNA
Rfam family: Bacterial small subunit ribosomal RNA
Source: RNAcentral